GAAGAGCCUGAGUCUGGGGCCCACAGCAGGCCAGGCACAACUCUGCCACUCCCCAGGGAAGGAGGCCAGUUUUGAAAGCUCCUCCCCAGAUGCUGAGACCACAUUUCCCGUGCAGGAGGAGGUGGAUGGGGAGAGUUUGCAUCUGGGAGUAUAAUUCAGGUAGAGUUGGGUUUUUUUCAAAGUACAUAAAAAUCCUUAAAUAUUGCUUUGUGCUGUAUAUUUUUCCUAAGUAUGACGUCAUGUCGAAGGAGCCCCUGAAGCCUGUUCCCUUCUUCAUUUGUGAGACCAGCUCCCACUUUCUGUGUCCCGUGCACGCUGCAGCCUCUUCUGGAAACUUAACAUUGGGCUAGAUCAGUGCUCCCUCUCCAGCAUUGGUGGAGGGGUGUGGAGGGGAUCUGAGCAGCAGCUCUGAAGGACAAGGUGUCUCCUGUAGCCAGGUGAUGGUGGCCCAAGGCUCCGGGGCUUCCCUUGCCCUCCCUGCCUCUCUCCUACAACCAUUCCUGCCUCACAGUUUUGCAAUCAUGGUGCCUGUGUGUGGGAGGGCAGGGAAGGUGGGUCUUUCCCUGAAGCAAUGUAGGCAAAGGCCUUGAUGGAUGUAAAGUGAGGGUCUGGGAAGCUAGGAGAAGAGUGUGAACUUACAGGAGUGCAUGCGCCCCCAGCACCACUCUGAGAAAAAAAAAGAAAUGCCAGCUCACUGCACCAGACGGAAGACAUCUUUUGAGGAUGAAGACAGCCACUAGACAAUGAAGCAACAGGAGACUUAAUCUUAAGAGUUCUAGCAGCCAAGGGGGUGUCAGGCAGGCCCCAGGCCACAUGGAAUGCUUUGCCCCUCUCCCUGAGUUUAGGGCGGGGAUGAUGAGGUGAAACACCCCUGACGCCCAGGGGCAAUUGCAACCUGCCUGUGGCAAUGAGGUUCUGAGAAGGGACCAUCAUUCAAAUCAAUGGGCUUCCACCUGGGUGCAGAGGAGAUCAGGCCGCCUGGGAGAGAGUAAGCAGGAGAGGGAGCCAGCAGGAAGCAGGAAGCAGGAUGAGGAAGAAGAGAGGGCACAAAGGAAGGGGUAGCUCAACUUCCAUUUGCCUUGGCUUUAGAAGAGUGUCCAAACGGGCCUCCAUAGUGCAUGAUGAGAUGGCUGGGGCCAAAGUCCCAGGGGCAGAUGGGUGGGCCACCUGUGAGUGGGGAGCCCUGUGGAUGUGUGUGUGUGUUCGCGUGCGCGCGCCAGCAAGUGCUAACUGGACAGCAGUUCACUCAGUGACAGGGUUUGCUCACAAUAGUCCCCCAGCAACCCCAACUACCAGGGAUCAAGGAAGCCCAAGUGUCUCCAUUUACCACAGAGAAAAGAGGGUCGGCUAUAAUCUGAAGGUUUAUGUACCCUCAGAAUUCAAGCAUUGAAAUCCCAGCCCCUAAGGUGAUGGGAUUAGGAGGUGUGGCCUUUGGGAGGUGAUUAUCCAUGAGGGUGGAUUCCUUAUAAUGGGAUUAGUGCCCUUAGAAAAAGGCCCAAGAGAGCCUCUUCACAGCUGGAGGGCACCGUCUGUGACUCGAAAGCCCUCACAGGAGGCUGAAUCCAGCAGCACUUUUAUCUUGGACCUCCCCACAUCCGGAACUGUCAGAAACACGUUUCUGUUGUUUAUAAGCCCCCCAGUCUAUGGUAUUUUGUGACAGCAGCCCAGACGGGCUAAGACAGGGUCCAGAUUCACGAGCACAAUUAUAUGCUGGCACAGAGGCAGAAUCUUAAAUCCCAGACCUAAAUUCCCCAAGAGCCAGAAUUCAAAAGAGUCCUCUCUAAUUGCCUUUGAUGAGAAUUCAAUUUAGGAAGGAUUCUAUUAAUAGUUUAAACUAACCAGUAGGAGCUUCCCAUAUCUUCUCCGCAGAACCAAAAUUCUCUCUAAACAGCUGAACCUUCUGCAAGCUGAAGAUUCCUCAUCAGUUUAAUAAGAGGUUUGGAAAAGAGAUUUGGAAACGAGUGGAUGGGAGGGGGCUUUCUGUUUCUUUCCUGGUAGACGUGUCCCCAAACUGGCCCCUUCUUAGGCCCAAAGAGGCAUUUAUUUGGUAUAAUUGGUGACUGAUUCCUUUCUAACAUCUUGGAUUAGGACUUGAAAUAAUCUAGUCACAGUCCCCUGCCCAGGAGUCACGCGUGUUCUCAGGACAGACUGAAGGUGGGGUGCGGGUGACGGAGGAAGCGAAAGAGGCCCCUCUACUUGCCCCUCAGUGUUUCUAUGCUCCAUGGCAUUCCUUUUCUGACAAAGACAAGCCUGAGCUCUGGGUGCCUGCCCUGAAGGGGAUGUACCCAGGAGGCGGGUAUAGAAGAUUCGGAAUUGAAAAUAUCGGGAAGGAGAAAAGGGAAUGGAGAGAACAGGGACGUUGAGGGAGAUGGAUCAAAGGGCCAUUUGUUGAGAACGUGCCUUCUCUCCCCUAGAGUCCUGGGUGCCCCAUUUGAUGAAAGCUGUCUCUCCUCCUCUCUCCUUUCUCUCGCCUCAGAGGAGGUACUUUGGGGCAACCUUCUGCUGAGGAGAAAGGGCUCAUACUGACGUGUAUUCCUUUCAAGUAGUUGUUCCUCCCUUUCCUUCCAAAAUGACACAUUUUGAAAGUGGAACAGGUCCAAGCAUGCAGAGAAGAGUGGAGAAUAACGUCGUGAGAUACACUCACCACGCUGUUUGCCACAUAUGUUUUGAAAAAUGUUUAAAUCAAACCCUCUGGAUACAGUCGCUUUUGACAUGCCCUCCCUCCCUCCUGGCUCUCCCUGCUCUUCCCUGCACCAGCCACAGCCUCACCCCAUCCCCACCUGCCACGCACGAUCCGGGAGAGUCUGGAAUGAGUAUGCUUGUAUUCGAUGCUGUAUUCCUCCUAAUUGAGCAGUGAGAAAUACUCCUAAUGGGGCAAGAAGAAACCUCUGCUGGAUGUCCAUGGGGCUUGGUCUGAAGCCAGUUUGCCCCAAGGAUUUAUUUGCAGAAUUUCUAGCAAAGGCAUUAGGGGGAAAAAUGUUACAUUGAGAAAAUACAACCCAGGACUUUUCUGCCUCUCCCCACCUCCAGACCCUCAUUUUCAGCACUGAGUUUUCUCUCCACCUUCUUCUCGUCUUAGCUUCUUUGGGGUUUCCCCUACCUGGCCCUUCUCUGAACCUCCAAUUGCCAGCCUGCAUUUAGGCUCCGGGAGUGGGUAGCUCUGCUCUGUGCAUGGCUUUUCCUACCUGGUGGAAGGUGUGUGUCCGUCGGAGAGGCAGCUGGUGCCUGGAGACGUCACCACCCACUUACCUUCUCAAUUUCCCUUUAACACCUCUUCUCUCAGUGCCAGCUGAUUCUAACUUCCAGGUGCAGAAAGCAUUUGGUGCAGCCAGAGGCCACCCUCUGCUCACAAUGGAUGCCCCUCAGCUGCCAGAAUUUUCCACUCCACGAUGAUUUGCCCCUCCCCCACCAUGCAUAAAGGAAAAGCCACACACACGUGUGUUAUUAAAAUGAACUGUUUAUAUUAUCUCCGUUGAGUCAAUACAUUAUAAUGUAUUAAAAUGGAAAGGUACAAAAUUGAAAUAAAUACUUUCUGAUUCAUGUAUAAAUCUUUUUUUUUUUUUUUUGUCAAGAUGACUUUUAUCAUCAGUACAUGUCACAAGAAAACAUUUAAAAUGACACUGAAACAAUCAUUGAAAUCAUGGUGCAUGGAGGAAAAAGGUAAAGAAAACAACUUUUGGCUUGUUUUGGCAUGAGACCUUGAUACAAUUUGGGUUCCCCAAAACCAUGUGAAGGGUGGUAAAAUAGAAAUGCUCAAAACUGACUUAAAAAAAUAAACAGGCUUUACAAAAACCCUCUUUUUUCUUAACCCAGCCACUUCUCGACAUGGUCUGCACAUACAGUAGAUACAUUCAUUAUUGUCCAAGGGAAGACAGUAACUGCCUUUCAUUUUAAAGAGCUUGGUGGAGAGGCUGAAGAAAUGUGCUGCAGCUGAAGGU
RNAcentral lists this long non-coding RNA (3938 nucleotides) under Homo sapiens (human). Its description in RNAcentral is "HSALNT0345202". Lineage: Eukaryota; Metazoa; Chordata; Mammalia; Primates; Hominidae. The record is from RNAcentral.